RNAcentral lists this ribosomal RNA (1434 nucleotides) under Paulownia witches'-broom phytoplasma. RNAcentral describes it as "bacterial SSU rRNA". It matches the Rfam family "Bacterial small subunit ribosomal RNA". Lineage: Bacteria; Bacillati; Mycoplasmatota; Mollicutes; Acholeplasmatales; Acholeplasmataceae. The record is from RNAcentral.
UCAUGCAAGUCGAACGGAAGUUUAAGCAAUUAAACUUUAGUGGCGAACGGGUGAGUAACGCGUAAGCAAUCUGCCCCUAAGACGAGGAUAACAGUUGGAAACGACUGCUAAGACUGGAUAGGAGACAAGAAGGCAUCUUCUUGUUUUUAAAAGACCUAGCAAUAGGCAUGCUUAGGUAGGAGCUUGCGUCACAUUAGUUAGUUGGUGGGGUAAAGGCCUACCAAGACUAUGAUGUGUAGCCGGGCUGAGAGGUUGAACGGCCACAUUGGGACUGAGACACGGCCCAAACUCCUACGGGAGGCAGCAGUAGGGAAUUUUCGGCGAUGGAGGAAACUCUGACCGAGCAACGCCGCGUGAACGAUGAAGUAUUUCGGUACGUAAAGUUCUUUUAUUAGGGAAGAAUAAAUGAUGGAAAAAUCAUUCUGACGGUACCUAAUGAAUAAGCCCCGGCUAACUAUGUGCCAGCAGCCGCGGUAAUACAUAGGGGGCAAGCGUUAUCCGGAAUUAUUGGGCGUAAAGGGUGCGUAGGCGGUUAAAUAAGUUUGUGGUCUAAGUGCAAUGCUCAACAUUGUGAUGCUAUAAAAACUGUUUAGCUAGAGUAAGAUAGAGGCAAGUGGAAUUCCAUGUGUAGUGGUAAAAUGCGUAAAUAUAUGGAGGAACACCAGUAGCGAAGGCGGUUUGCUGGGUCUUUACUGACGCUGAGGCACGAAAGCGUGGGGAGCAAACAGGAUUAGAUACCCUGGUAGUCCACGCCGUAAACGAUGAGUACUAAACGUUGGGUAAAACCAGUGUUGAAGUUAACACAUUAAGUACUCCGCCUGAGUAGUACGUACGCAAGUAUGAAACUUAAAGGAAUUGACGGGACUCCGCACAAGCGGUGGAUCAUGUUGUUUAAUUCGAAGGUACCCGAAAAACCUCACCAGGUCUUGACAUGCUUCUGCAAAGCUGUAGAAACACAGUGGAGGUUAUCAGUUGCACAGGUGGUGCAUGGUUGUCGUCAGCUCGUGUCGUGAGAUGUUGGGUUAAGUCCCGCAACGAGCGCAACCCUUAUUGUUAGUUACCAGCACGUAAUGGUGGGGACUUUAGCAAGACUGCCAGUGAUAAAUUGGAGGAAGGUGGGGACGACGUCAAAUCAUCAUGCCCCUUAUGACCUGGGCUACAAACGUGAUACAAUGGCUGUUACAAAGGGUAGCUGAAGCGCAAGUUUUUGGCGAAUCUCAAAAAAACAGUCUCAGUUCGGAUUGAAGUCUGCAACUCGACUUCAUGAAGUUGGAAUCGCUAGUAAUCGCGAAUCAGCAUGUCGCGGUGAAUACGUUCUCGGGGUUUGUACACACCGCCCGUCAAACCACGAAAGUUGGCAAUACCCAAAGCCGGUGGCCUAACUUCGCAAGAAGAGGGAACCGUCUAAGGUAGGGUCGAUGAUUGGGGUUAAGA